CUAGACUGCGGUGGAUACUACCAGGCUAGGGGGCGGGAGAGGUCGACGGUAGUCCUGGGGUAGGGGUGAAAUCCUAUAAUCCCGGGAGGACCACCAGUGGCGAAGGCGGUCGACUAGAACGCGCCCGACGGUGAUGGACGAAAGCUGGGGGAGCGAACCGGAUUAGAUACCCGGGUAGUCCCAGCUGUAAACGAUGCAGGCUAGGUGUUGGAACGGCUACGGGCCGUUCCGGUGCCGCAGGGAAGCUAUUAAGCCUGCCGCCUGGGAAGUACGGCCGCAAGGCUGAAACUUAAAGGAAUUGGCGGGGGAGCACCACAAGGGGUGAAGCCUGCGGUUUAAUUGGAGUCAACGCCGGGAAACUUACCGGGGAAGACAGCAGGAUGAAGGUCAGAUUGAAGGUCUUACUGGACAAGCUGAGAGGAGGUGCAUGGCCGUCGCCAGUUCGUGCCGUGAGGUGUCCUGUUAAGUCAGGCAACGAACGAGACCCUCACCCUUAGUUGCCAGCGGACCCCUACGGGGUGCCGGGCACACCAAGGGGACUGCCAUCGACAAGAUGGAGGAAGGAGGGGGCCACGG
This 576-nucleotide ribosomal RNA is filed under the name uncultured crenarchaeote. Its description in RNAcentral is "bacterial SSU rRNA". It matches the Rfam family "Archaeal small subunit ribosomal RNA", at positions 566 to 1141 of the family's 1478-position model. The record is from RNAcentral. Lineage: Archaea; Thermoproteati; Thermoproteota.